GGUCAUCAUGGCCCUUACGUCCAGGGCUACACACGUGCUACAAUGGCGCGUACAGAGGGCUGCAAGCUAGCGAUAGUGAGCGAAUCCCAAAAAGCGCGUCGUAGUCCGGAUCGCAGUCUGCAACUCGACUGCGUGAAGUCGGAAUCGCUAGUAAUCGUGAAUCAGAACGUCACGGUGAAUACGUUCCCGGGCCUUGUACACACCGCCCGUCACUCCAUGGGAGUGGGUUGCUCCAGAAGUAGCUAGUCUAACCGCAAGGGGGACGGUUACCACGGAGUGAUUCAUGA
RNAcentral lists this ribosomal RNA (287 nucleotides) under uncultured bacterium. RNAcentral's name for it is "partial 16S ribosomal RNA". It matches the Rfam family "Bacterial small subunit ribosomal RNA", at positions 1188 to 1474 of the family's 1533-position model. The record is from RNAcentral.